Molecule: long non-coding RNA, 1928 nt
Organism: Lolium rigidum
Lineage: Eukaryota; Viridiplantae; Streptophyta; Magnoliopsida; Poales; Poaceae
Exons: 3
Source: RefSeq, a predicted model, not a curated record
AACAGCCGCAGUUCUUUUUCAAAAAAAAGCUGGAGAUGGAAUUUUUUUGGUAUCCUUAAGUAAACAAUGAUUUCUCAUGCAUACUUUCGAGGUAGCGCUUCAAUGUAGAGAGUGACCUUAUUAAUCUGGUAUAUUUGCAUGCCUCACAAAGGCUGCGGUAUAUGGCUGUUUUCCCCGGUGAUGCAGUUCAUUGACUACUGCUUUGAGGCACUGAAAGCGAAAACUUUAAAAGGACUGCACAGUAUUUUAGAACAGUGAUUAGGAUUACAACUGCAAGAUACACGCUGAACAUGUUUCAGUGUGAUUUUGGUACUUCAAAAUAGUUUGCAAGACAAGAUUAGUUCAAAAUUCAGUCCAGCUGCCGUCAUAAUUCUUUUCAUGUAAGCAUGUUUUGCCAAGGUAAUUCUCUUGCUUAGUUUAGUGAUAGUCUAACUUUCAUGAUAUUAUUUUGUGUAAUCAUCUUUACCUGUCUGCAAAGCGCUAAGUCUAAUUAUUGUAUUUGCUUUUUCAUGCAAAACCGAGUGUAAAGUAUGUGUGUGAUAUGGGCGGAGCAUUUCCCUUUUUCUCGGCAGAUUGUCCGCCGAUUUGUCGUAUAACACAUGCCUGGUGCAGGAUGUGGCAUGGUUCUGUGUGACGUAGGAGUGGAUCAUCUAAGGUAACAUAGGCUUCCUCAACACUUGCUCCAUCCUAAUUCUUAGUCGUCUUUGCCAUUUAUUUUGUGAUUAUGGUUGAAUUAUAGAAUGUUCAUUUGGCGCCAAAAUGUGCUUAGAGUAUCAAUUUUACUAUCCAACUCAUUUUGGUGCUCAAAAUUUUCUAUUCUACAAUCCCUGGUUUAUACUGUGUAAACAAGAAGAACGAAGAAUCCAAUAUGUUUCUUCCUUAUCUUUGUUGUCAUGUAUCCUGCAUAUUUUACUUUCUUUUUAAAAUUAUAGUAACCUAUUCUUAAUUUAUAUUGAUAAAAAACUUGCAAAGAUGGACUUACCUGAAUCUGUGGUGUGUUUACAAGCAUAAGCAGUAACCAGAACCUGAAAAAAAAACUUUAUACCUUUCAUUUUUUGGUUUAUAAAUAAUCACAUUUAGAGAUUGGUUCCAAGAAGCAACAGGAAAUAUUUUUUUACCGCACAUGGAUACAGACUCAAACAUUCAAUAGCGGGGGCUCUUUCCUAUUGAUUCCUUUGAAUUUUAUUAUAAGUGCUUAUUAAAUUAUACCAUUUUGUGAUGCUCAUUCAUAAUUUAUUUCUGAAAUCUAUUUGUUUGCCAUUUUUUGUGUUAAACAGCUCCACCUCUUGAGUAUAUUGUGUAUUAUGGCCGAAUUAUGAUCUAUAUCAGGUGAGAAAAGCAGGCUCAGCAAUGUAGAUAAAUUCCAUCGCUGUAUUACUAUGUUCUUUAAACAAAAAACUUCUAAUUAGUAUUUUAGUUUACCUUACUUAUAAUGACGCAAAAAUGCAGAAGACGAGAUGUGUAUAGGGAAGUUCAAAUUAUUAGCAUUCAAGAGCUCACAGUGUUCAAUAUUGUUUGGUGCAUCUAUAUAAACUGACGCAGAUAAGUUUGUAUGUAUGUUCAUCCAAUAAAAAAAAGAUUACUGAUGUUGUUUCGUAUUUUCCGCAUGUGUUGGAUGGACUGAUAUCUCAGUCCGGCCUUCAUUAUUAAUUGCAGUGCACCUGGAAUCUUGAGUAUGUUAUGUAUUAUGGCCGAAUUAUGAUCUAUAUCAGUGCACUUGGAAUCGGAAUUAAUAGUGCGCUCUACUUCUCCACAUGGUUCCGGUGCAUCUACCAUAUUGUUAGAGCAUCCACGGCGCAAGUCGCAUGGCGUGUACCCAGGCGGCUGAAGUAAUUAGUAUAAAUAGAACAAAAUCAAUUAUGUAGCGAAGUGGGCAUCACUGCAGUGCUAGGCUCUUAUUUGCGACGAUAAUUCGCCUAUGUGCCCAC